GACGAACGCUGGCGGCGUGCUUAACACAUGCAAGUCGAACGGAAAGGCGCUGCUCUUGUUGGGUGGUCGAGUGGCGAGGGGGUGAGGAACACGUGAGGAAACUGCCCUUGACUUUGGGAUAACUUCACGGAACUGGGGCGAGUAUAGGAUAGGAUCUUCUGCUGCAUUGUGGGGGUUGGUGAGGGUCGGCGGUUGGGGAUGGACUCGCGGGUUAUGAGCUUGUUGGUGGGGUUGGGGCUUACCAGGGCUUUGACGGGUAGCCGGCCUGAGAGGGUGACCGGCCACAUUGGGACUGAGAUACGGCCCAGACUCGUAGGGGAGGCAGCAGUGGGGAAUAUUGCACAACGGGCGGAAGCCUGAUGCAGCAACGCCGCGUGCGGGAUGACGGCCUUCGGGUUGUAAACCGCUUUCGCCUGUGACGAAGCGUGAUUGACGGUAAUGGGUAAAGAAGCACCGGCUAACUACGUG
This 468-nucleotide ribosomal RNA is filed under the name uncultured bacterium. RNAcentral's name for it is "partial 16S ribosomal RNA". It matches the Rfam family "Bacterial small subunit ribosomal RNA", at positions 28 to 507 of the family's 1533-position model. The record is from RNAcentral.